Molecule: ribosomal RNA, 683 nt
Filed under: uncultured bacterium
Lineage: Bacteria
Description: bacterial SSU rRNA
Rfam family: Bacterial small subunit ribosomal RNA
Source: RNAcentral
GCAAGUCGAAACGAGUAACGUUUCCUUCGGGAAAACUAGUAGAGUGGCGAACGGGUGAGUAACGGGUGGAAAACCUGCCCUUCAAUGGGGGAUAACAGUUCUAACGAGCUGCUAAUACCGCAUACGACCUUUUGAUCGCAUGUUCGAAAGGUGAAAGGUGGCCUCUCUUUGAAGCUGCCGUUGAAGGAUGGUUCCGCCUCCCAUUAGCUAGUUGGUGGGGUAAAGGCCUACCAAGGCGACGAUGGGUAGCCGGCCUGAGAGGGUGUCCGGCCACACUGGGACUGAGAUACGGCCCAGACUCCUACGGGAGGCAGCAGUCGAGAAGCUUCCGCAAUGGGGGAAACCCUGACGGAGCGACGCCGCGUGAGUGAAGAAGGCCCUUUGGGUUGUAAAGCUCUGUCAGAUUGGGAAGAAAAUCCUACGGUUAAUACCUGUGGGACUUGACGGUACCAUCAGAGGAAGCACCGGCUAACUCCGUGCCAGCAGCCGCGGUAAUACGGAGGGUGCAAGCGUUGUUCGGAUUCACUGGGUAUAAAGGGUGCGCAGGCGGCCUGGUAAGUCAGGGGUGAAAUAUGACGGCUCAACCGUCAAACUGCCCCUGAAACUGUCAGGCUUGAGUCCGGGAGAGGAAGGUGGAAUUCCAGGUGUAGCGGUGAAAUGCGUAAAUAUCUGGAGGAACACCG